RNAcentral lists this ribosomal RNA (1285 nucleotides) under Salmonella enterica. RNAcentral describes it as "partial 23S ribosomal RNA". It matches the Rfam family "Bacterial large subunit ribosomal RNA", at positions 469 to 1754 of the family's 2925-position model. Lineage: Bacteria; Pseudomonadati; Pseudomonadota; Gammaproteobacteria; Enterobacterales; Enterobacteriaceae. The record is from RNAcentral.
AAUACUCCUGACUGACCGAUAGUGAACCAGUACCGUGAGGGAAAGGCGAAAAGAACCCCGGCGAGGGGAGUGAAAAAGAACCUGAAACCGUGUACGUACAAGCAGUGGGAGCACCCUUUGGGGUGUGACUGCGUACCUUUUGUAUAAUGGGUCAGCGACUUAUAUUCUGUAGCAAGGUUAACCGAAUAGGGGAGCCGGAGGGAAACCGAGUCUUAAUUGGGCGUUAAGUUGCAGGGUAUAGACCCGAAACCCGGUGAUCUAGCCAUGGGCAGGUUGAAGGUUGGGUAACACUAACUGGAGGACCGAACCGACUAAUGUUGAAAAAUUAGCGGAUGACCUGUGGCUGGGGGUGAAAGGCCAAUCAAACCGGGAGAUAGCUGGUUCUCCCCGAAAGCUAUUUAGGUAGCGCCUCGUGAAUUCAUCUCCGGGGGUAGAGCACUGUUUCGGCUAGGGGGCCAUCCCGGCUUACCAACCCGAUGCAAACUGCGAAUACCGGAGAAUGUUAUCACGGGAGACACACGGCGGGUGCUAACGUCCGUCGUGAAGAGGGAAACAACCCAGACCGCCAGCUAAGGUCCCAAAGUCAUGGUUAAGUGGGAAACGAUGUGGGAAGGCCCAGACAGCCAGGAUGUUGGCUUAGAAGCAGCCAUCAUUUAAAGAAAGCGUAAUAGCUCACUGGUCGAGUCGGCCUGCGCGGAAGAUGUAACGGGGCUAAACCAUGCACCGAAGCUGCGGCAGCGACACUCAGGUGUUGUUGGGUAGGGGAGCGUUCUGUAAGCCUGUGAAGGUGGCCUGUGAGGGUUGCUGGAGGUAUCAGAAGUGCGAAUGCUGACAUAAGUAACGAUAAAGCGGGUGAAAAGCCCGCUCGCCGGAAGACCAAGGGUUCCUGUCCAACGUUAAUCGGGGCAGGGUGAGUCGACCCCUAAGGCGAGGCCGAAAGGCGUAGUCGAUGGGAAACGGGUUAAUAUUCCCGUACUUGGUGUUACUGCGAAGGGGGGACGGAGAAGGCUAUGUUGGCCGGGCGACGGUUGUCCCGGUUUAAGCGUGUAGGUGUGUGUUCCAGGUAAAUCCGGUUCACUUUAACACUGAGGCGUGACGACGAGGCACUACGGUGCUGAAGCAACAAAUGCCCUGCUUCCAGGAAAAGCCUCUAAGCAUCAGGUAACAUCAAAUCGUACCCCAAACCGACACAGGUGGUCAGGUAGAGAAUACCAAGGCGCUUGAGAGAACUCGGGUGAAGGAACUAGGCAAAAUGGUGCCGUAACUUCGGGAGAAGGCACGCUGA